RNAcentral lists this ribosomal RNA (591 nucleotides) under uncultured bacterium. RNAcentral describes it as "bacterial SSU rRNA". It matches the Rfam family "Bacterial small subunit ribosomal RNA", at positions 258 to 840 of the family's 1533-position model. The record is from RNAcentral.
UAACGGCUCACCAAGGCGACGAUGCAUAGCCGACCUGAGAGGGUGAUCGGCCACAUUGGGACUGAGACACGGCCCAAACUCCUACGGGAGGCAGCAGUAGGGAAUCUUCGGCAAUGGACGAAAGUCUGACCGAGCAACGCCGCGUGAGUGAAGAAGGUUUUCGGAUCGUAAAACUCUGUUGUUAGAGAAGAACAAGGAUGAGAGUAACUGUUCAUCCCUUGACGGUAUCUAACCAGAAAGCCACGGCUAACUACGUGCCAGCAGCCGCGGUAAUACGUAGGUGGCAAGCGUUGUCCGGAUUUAUUGGGCGUAAAGCGAGCGCAGGCGGUUUCUUAAGUCUGAUGUGAAAGCCCCCGGCUCAACCGGGGAGGGUCAUUGGAAACUGGGAGACUUGAGUGCAGAAGAGGAGAGUGGAAUUCCAUGUGUAGCGGUGAAAUGCGUAGAUAUAUGGAGGAACACCAGUGGCGAAGGCGGCUCUCUGGUCUGUAACUGACGCUGAGGCUCGAAAGCGUGGGGAGCAAACAGGAUUAGAUACCCUGGUAGUCCACGCCGUAAACGAUGAGUGCUAAGUGUUGGAGGGUUUCCGCCCUU